CAGCCGCCGCGGUAAUACCGGCGGCCCGAGUGGCGGUCACUAUUAUUGGGCUUAAAGCGUCCGUAGCCGGGUUGGGAAGUCCUCCGGGAAAUCUGGCCGCUUAACGGUCAGAAUGCCGGAGGAUACUCCCAGCCUAGGGGGCGGGGGAGGCCGAGGGGAUUCCCGGGGUAGGGGGGAAAUCCUAUAAUCCCGGGAGCACCACCUGUGGAGAAGGCGCUCGGCUGGAACGCGUCCGACGGUGAGGGACGAAGGCCAGGGGAGCAAACCGGAUUAGAUACCCGGGUAGUCCUGGCUGUAAACGAUGCGGACUUUGUGUCGGACAAGCUAUGAGCUUGUCCGGUGCCGGAGGGAAACCGUUAAGUCCGCCGCCUGGGGAGUACGGCCGCAAGGCUGAAACUUAAAGGAAUUGGCGGG
Molecule: ribosomal RNA, 414 nt
Filed under: uncultured microorganism
Description: bacterial SSU rRNA
Rfam family: Archaeal small subunit ribosomal RNA
Source: RNAcentral